Molecule: non-coding RNA, 518 nt
Organism: Camelina sativa (false flax)
Lineage: Eukaryota; Viridiplantae; Streptophyta; Magnoliopsida; Brassicales; Brassicaceae
Source: RefSeq, a predicted model, not a curated record
AAGUACCUCCUCCUGAAAAAGAUACUCAUGUUGUAUCCAACUCUGGAGUCUUUGGGUCAUCAUCCAUUGCUGAUGGUUUUAAUUGGGGGAUUGGAAAUAUGAUGGGACACAGAUUUUUUGAAGCCAUUUUUGGUCCUCGUACCGUUAGACAAGAAAUAGUAGUACCAGCUGAAAAGGUUAAAGAAGUUGCUAUUGUUUCUGCCGAGGAUGAUAACGAUAAAUUCAAGGACUAUACUGAAACAUGCGGUAUCAGCUAAAAUGCAUUUCAAGACUGUUUGAAUGUUGAAGGGAACAAUCUAAGAAAAUGCCACUUCUUCAUGGAUUCGCUGUUCGAGUGCAGGAGGAAUUCGAGUUCCUUCAACUUCUAAGUUCGUCUUUCUUUAUUAGUGUUUUCUCGAACAAAACAUGAACCAAGAAACACACUCUUAUUUGGUUUAUGAUGUUUGCUAGCUUUUUCUUGGAUGAUUAAUCUCCAAGUCUAUGAAUUAUAUCGUAUGUUUCGGAUUUAAAAUAAAGUC